This 130-nucleotide non-coding RNA is filed under the name Erythrolobus madagascarensis. Lineage: Eukaryota; Rhodophyta; Bangiophyceae; Porphyridiales; Porphyridiaceae. The record is from RNAcentral.
AGAGAGAGAAAGAAAGCAAGAAAGAAAGAAAGAAAGAGAGAAAAGUAGAGAGCAAGCGACAGAGUGAGUGCGUGUUCUUGAUGGAUCGAUGUUAGGCUACUUUGUGUUUUGAUCAUGUCGUGCUUCUCAU